This 498-nucleotide ribosomal RNA is filed under the name uncultured bacterium. RNAcentral describes it as "partial 16S ribosomal RNA". It matches the Rfam family "Bacterial small subunit ribosomal RNA", at positions 30 to 523 of the family's 1533-position model. The record is from RNAcentral.
AUUGAACGCUGGCGGCAUGCUUUACACAUGCAAGUCGAACGGUAACAGGCCGCAAGGUGCUGACGAGUGGCGAACGGGUGAGUAAUGUAUCGGAACGUGCCCAGUCGUGGGGGAUAACGCAGCGAAAGCUGUGCUAAUACCGCAUACGAUCUAUGGAUGAAAGCGGGGGACCGUAAGGCCUCGUGCGAUUGGAGCGGCCGAUAUCAGAUUAGGUAGUUGGUGGGGUAAAGGCUCACCAAGCCGACGAUCUGUAGCUGGUCUGAGAGGACGACCAGCCACACUGGGACUGAGACACGGCCCAGACUCCUACGGGAGGCAGCAGUGGGGAAUUUUGGACAAUGGGCGCAAGCCUGAUCCAGCAAUGCCGCGUGCAGGACGAAGGCCUUCGGGUUGUAAACUGCUUUUGUACGGAGCGAAACGGCCCUCUCUAAUAAAGAGGGCUAAUGACGGUACCGUAAGAAUAAGCACCGGCUAACUACGUGCCAGCAGCCGCCGUAA